Molecule: ribosomal RNA, 463 nt
Filed under: uncultured bacterium
Lineage: Bacteria
Description: partial 16S ribosomal RNA
Rfam family: Bacterial small subunit ribosomal RNA
Source: RNAcentral
GAUGAACGCUGACAGAAUGCUUAACACAUGCAAGUCGAUGGGGAAGUGGUGCUUGCACCAUGGCAACCAUGGCGGACGGGUGAGUAACGCGUAAGGGACUUACCUGCAGGACUGGGAUAACAGGGGGAAACUCCUGACAAGACCGGAUAAUGUCAUGGAGCUGCAUGGCUUUAUGAUGAAAGGAGACGCCUGCGGAGAGCCUUGCGUCCUAUUAGCUAGUUGGUGAGGUAAUGGCUCACCAAGGCGAAGAUAGGUAGCCGGCCUGAGAGGGUGGACGGCCACAAGGGGACUGAGAUACGGCCCUUACUCCUACGGGAGGCAGCAGUGGGGAAUAUUGGACAAUGGGGGCAACCCUCAUCCAGCAAUUCUGUGUGCACGAAGAAGGUUUUCGGAUUGUAAAGUGCUUUCAGCAGGGAAGAAGUAAGUGACGGUACCUGCAGAAGAAGCGACGGCUAAAUACGUG